This is a long non-coding RNA of Marmota flaviventris (yellow-bellied marmot), 724 nucleotides long. RefSeq lists it as uncharacterized. Lineage: Eukaryota; Metazoa; Chordata; Mammalia; Rodentia; Sciuridae. The record is from RefSeq and is a predicted model, not a curated record.
GCAAAAGCUACCUCGUCCAAACUUUUUUGCGCAUCCCCUGAAGCCUACAGCGUGGGCGCCGCGUCCCCACCCGUUGCGCCCGUCCUCUCCCUCCCGCGGCCAGGAGCCCUUCGCUUCCCCCCUGCGGCUCCUAGAUGCUGGACCAUAACAGACGGAGUGGCCUUCCAGGCACAGGGACGACCUCGGCCAACAGGAGUUCAGUCGCCAAUCCGUGAACCCACCCGACUUCUCAGAGUAGGCGCUUCUCAGGACAUCAGUGCUAGGCGGACCCCUGGACCCUCCUCCUCCUCGGUCAGCUCCAGCUGAGCUCUUCACCCUCAUUACGCCCGGUCCUGCCCAGCUCACCUGGACAGCCGGCUCCACUGUCCUGCUCUCCACCCCCAGCGGAACCUAUCACAGGCCUCAGGUCUGCGAUCCAUUUCCAGGUGGCCGUCGGUGUGAGGCGAGGCUGUGCGUGGCUGGCCAGGCCUGCGAGUUGAAGCCCUCCGCCCUCCUUGAUUCACUGGCCACUGCAGGGGCAUCUGCUGGCCGUGCCUGUUCCCGACUCGGUUCUGUCCAUCCUUUGGUCCCUGCCACAUUGUCUAGAUUAAGAGCUGACGGAAGGCAGACAGGAAGCCUCCUGGGCAGGCCACAGCCGCUGGGCCGCUCUCCCACUGGGCCCUGAAAGCUGCCGGCUGUGGAGGGCAAGUGCACGGCCACACUGCGUCCCAGUGACACUGUGCUC